UGAAGACGUCACAAGUUGACAUUCGACUA
Molecule: small RNA, 29 nt
Filed under: Bombyx mori (domestic silkworm)
Lineage: Eukaryota; Metazoa; Arthropoda; Insecta; Lepidoptera; Bombycidae
Description: ovarian small RNA-30887
Source: RNAcentral